CAACUUUCAGCAAUGGAUCUCUUGGCUCUCGCAUCGAUGAAGAACGCAGCGAAUAGCGAUAUGUAAUGUGAAUUGCAGAUCUACAGUGAAUCAUCGAAUCUUUGAACGCACCUUGCGCUCCUCGGUGUUCCGAGGAGCAUGCCUGUUUGAGCGUCAG
Molecule: ribosomal RNA, 157 nt
Filed under: Suillus bovinus
Lineage: Eukaryota; Fungi; Basidiomycota; Agaricomycetes; Boletales; Suillaceae
Also listed under: 1 other name
Description: 5.8S ribosomal RNA
Rfam family: 5.8S ribosomal RNA
About the family: 5.8S ribosomal RNA (5.8S rRNA) is a component of the large subunit of the eukaryotic ribosome. It is transcribed by RNA polymerase I as part of the 45S precursor that also contains 18S and 28S rRNA.
Source: RNAcentral